RNAcentral lists this small nuclear RNA (20 nucleotides) under Arabidopsis thaliana (thale cress). RNAcentral's name for it is "snRNA_09833". Lineage: Eukaryota; Viridiplantae; Streptophyta; Magnoliopsida; Brassicales; Brassicaceae. The record is from RNAcentral.
UGAAUUUGUUAUCCAAAAUU